RNAcentral lists this long non-coding RNA (315 nucleotides) under Ananas comosus (pineapple). RNAcentral describes it as "long non-coding RNA (ACOM_LNC019185)". The record is from RNAcentral. Lineage: Eukaryota; Viridiplantae; Streptophyta; Magnoliopsida; Poales; Bromeliaceae.
UACCCCUCAUACAUUCGGAUAUAUCCGAUCUACCUUUGCUUUUUUUUUUUUCUUUCUAAAAUGCCCCUCAUAUGUUCCACCGUUAUUCUAAAAUAUCCCUGCAGUUAUCCUUUGUUAGCUUAACUCGGGUUAAACAUGAGUUAAAUGUAUACUAGAGUUAAAAUCUAAAUAAAAUACCUAUUUUGCCCCUAUCAUAUUAUACUAAUUUCUUAAGUUAUCCUCCUCAUCCUCUUCGUCAUUCUCCUUCUCCCUCCUCCUCCUAUCGUCGUCCCCAACCCCGACCCCAACCCUAUCGUCGCGGAGAGGACGGCGACC